AGAAUCAACGCUGGCGGCGUGCCUAACACAUGCAAGUCGCACGAGAAAGGGGAGCAAUCCCUGAGUACAGUGGCGCACGGGUGAGUAACACGUGAAUUAUCUACCUCCGAGUGGGGAAUAACUGAGAGAAAUCUUAGCUAAUACCGCAUAACACUUACGAGUCAAAGCAGCAAUGCGCUUGGAGAGGAGUUCGCGGCCGAUUAGUUAGUUAGCGGGGUAAUGGCCCACCAAGACGAUGAUCGGUAUCCGGCCUGAGAGGGCGCACGGACACACUGGAACUGAAACACGGUCCAGACUCCUACGGGAGGCAGCAGUGGGGAAUUUUGCGCAAUGGGGGAAACCCUGACGCAGCAACGCCGCGUGGAGGAUGAAGCCCCUUGGGGUGUAAACUCCUUUCGAUCGGGAAGAUAAUGACGGUACCGAUAUAAGAAGCCCCGGCUAACUUCGCGCCAGCAGCCGC
Molecule: ribosomal RNA, 460 nt
Filed under: uncultured bacterium
Lineage: Bacteria
Description: SSU rRNA
Rfam family: Bacterial small subunit ribosomal RNA
Source: RNAcentral